Molecule: long non-coding RNA, 1252 nt
Filed under: Populus trichocarpa (black cottonwood)
Lineage: Eukaryota; Viridiplantae; Streptophyta; Magnoliopsida; Malpighiales; Salicaceae
Description: long non-coding RNA (PTRI_LNC000549)
Source: RNAcentral
AAUUGUUGAAUGUUUUUGCUGAUUGCAUUUAUGUAUAUAACUGGUAGUAAUAUUGUCUCAAAGAUCAUGUUAACGCUAUGUGAAAGCCUCUUAUUGAUUCCAAUAGAUUGUGAUAUGUUUGGUGGGUGAGAAAUUGUUUGCGCUAUUUGAAUGGAAAUGGGGACUAGCUAGUCAUGUUUCCUUGCACUUGAAAUGCACUUUUCACCUUGCAAUCUACAUGAGUUCAGAAACUAGGAUAGAACACACUUUAUCUUGAAUGCACUGAACCCCUGGUUUGUACAAGUUACAUGUAUCAGCUAAGUUGAUCAAAGUUGCACUAUGCAUCUCUAGCACUCUCACUCUUGUCUUUUAUCCUUAUUUCCCCCCUUGUAUUCUUAACUGUUCGUCACCUUAUUAUCACAAAGUCUUAUAUAAUAGACUGCUGUAUGUGUGCUCUCAUCUGAUGCAAGAUAAGCGUUAUAAUCAAUGCAAAUAUGUGCAUUACUUUCACAGUGAUUUUCAUGCUUUAGUUUUCCUUGCCCCUCUCCAAAAUUUGGGCUGCAUAUAAUACUGUCAAUUGCAGGUACUGAUCAAGGCAUUUCAAUGGCACAAAGCGGGGCAGAUGGUGUAUCACUCGGCAUUCCACCUUUACUUACUACACAGAGAAAAUCAGAUGAUGAAUCACUCGGCAUUCCAGCUUUACCUACUACACAGAGAAAAUCAGAUGAUGAAUCACUCGGCAUUCCAGCUUUACCUACUACACAGAGAAAAUCAGAUGGUGGAUCACUUGGCAUUCCAGCUUUACCUAUUACACAGAGAAAACAAGAGGUUCAAGCCAGGCAAACAACCAGUGGAUCAUCAAGCUCGGAUGAUGAUGACCUUGAAGGAGACACAGGAACCAAUGAAAAUAUGGAUCCUGCUGUUGUGAAACGUGCGAGGAGGUAUCUUAUUUAUUAACAUUCAUGCUUGGUGUAAGGGGUUCUAAAUACAAUUUAGAAACUUUGUUUUCUUUACUCAUACGCCUCCCAUUUUUCCUCUUAUUUUGAAUUUAUACAGGUAAUAUUAUUUUGAGGAAUUCACAUGUUAGUGCUCGUCUUAUUGGUGAAUAAAUCAAGCAUUGUUUUAGGAUGGGAGAAGAGUAUUUGUCAAUGGUUUCUAAUUAAAUCGGAUACAGCCUUACUAAACCUGACUUAACUGUCUCCAAGUUUUGGGAUAAACAGAUUCUUACUAGAUGCAAGUAUAUAUCUUAUUAUUGUGUUAAAAAGGAAGGACC